GGCGGGGCCGCAGUCCGCGCACGCGCAGGCGCACUAAGCUGUGAGGCGCUCGGGACGAAUGAACUCCCUAAAGAAGGUGCAGAGUGGCGGCGAGUCCUUUAGUUUAAUGCCAAACUUGAACUUCCUAAGUUUUCUCUUCCAUCCCUGUCUGUGAAGAAUCCGGGGAGUGUGGAAACCAUAGGUCAGCUCUACUGAAUGAAAUGGUUCAUGGACCUCAUUGGCUAAUCAACUGAAGCAGAAGGAGUGAAAAAAGAACAAAGAAAUCUGUGACUGGUUGUGAUCAAUUAGUAAACUUACUUUUUUAGAUUAAAAUGAAAUAAUACAUGCAAAGCCCUUGCACAGUGGCUUGCACAUAACACAUUUCGGGGUUAAGUUGUGCUAGUUAUUCCGUUAUUGAUUGUCUUGCCCUUUGUCCUCUGGAAGGUUGGAUCUUGCCAUUUGGGUAUGGCCAAUGGGAAGGCUGAGCAAGACAUCAGAGGGUGGGAGGAAAGGAGGUAUAUUUAUUUUCCUUACUCCUUCUCUGCUAGGCUUCAAUUUUGUCACUAGCUGCAUUCCUUUUUAUGACCACAACUCCAGUCUAAUGGCCACCCUCCCAUAGCUAGAGUUCAUAACAGACUAACACUGCCACCUCCUCAGGCCUAGGAAUGGUCAUGGUUUUUCUUCUCACUGUUGCUUCAGGUUCUUUUUUCCCACCGUUGCUUGCGCUAGAUGUUCCACCCUCUUUUCUUGUUCCUUUAAGGCCUCUCUAAACUGUCACUUUAUGAAACUGUCUUCAGUUAAAUUCUUUAUAUGUGGCAUUAGUUUAUGCUGAGACUUUGAUGUACAUAAAACAACAAUACUUUGUUUGGACAUCAGGAAGGACAUCUUUUUGAUGAAUCAUUUUAGUAAAUGUUGUAAGGAGCUAAUAUGAGACAUUCUAAAUCAAAUGGGAAGUUUAUUGAGAUGCUGGUGGUUUGUUGUUCUGAUGAUGUAAAUCCAGCUUUGAAGGCUGUAGAGUUUGUUUAGAUGGCAGAUGGUUGUAGGAAGGAAAGGUGGAGUUCUUUUCUUGAUGCAUAAAACAAGAUCAUAUCUUCAGUGGCAAAGUGAACAUGAGGAUUAUGGAGAAAGUAAAUAAAGGUGAUUGGCUAUAAUGGACACUUUAUGCUUAAGGGUUGUAGUAGGCAGAAUAAUGGUCUCCCAAAGAUAUCCAUGACCUAAUGCCUGGAACUUGUGAAUAUGUUAUCUUAGAUGGUAAAAGGGACUUGGAAGAUGUAAUUAAAUUAAAGAUCUUGAGAUGAUGAGAUUAUUCUGUUAGGCGCAUUGUAAUUACAAAGGAUCCUUAGGAAGGUAGUAGGGUCAGAGUCAGAGAAAGAGAUAUGAUGAUAAAGCAGAAUCACAGGGGAAGAGCUGAAGAUUCUACUCUGCUGGGUUGAAGAUGGAGAAAGGGGCCACAGGCCAAGAAUGCAGGUGGUGGCCAGAGGCUGAUGAAAACAGAGAAACUGACUUUCCCCUAGAACCUCCAGAAGAAAUGCAGCCCUAGUGACAUCUUGAUUCUAGCCCAGUGAGAUUUCUGACCUACAGAAUUGUACAAUAGUAAAUUUAUGUUGUUUUAAGGUGGUGAUCUGUGGCAAGUUGUUACAAGAGCAAUAAGAAACUGACAUAGGAGAUAGAGAAAGCGUGUUGGAUUAGGGCAGUCAGUUGAGAAUUUUGGAUAUUAUCUUAAAGCCAACAAAGAACCACCAAAGAUUUUUUACUAAAAACAGAUAUAAUGAAAAUGAUGUAUUAGGAGGGUAGACUAGAAGUUGGGUUCAGACUGAAGACAGAAAGAUAAGCUCUACAGUGGUGUGCAUGGAUAAGUACGGUGAUUAGUACCCAGGUUACAAAUGGACUCUGUUAAUUGAUAAGAAGUUUCCAAAUCUGAAAGAGAUUGCUAAAGAAGAGCCUACAGAAUAUAAUGACUGAUGGGGAAUCAGCAAAGGAAAGCAGUCCAAUUUCAGAUGCCUCAUGUGUUGUGAAAUGGGCAUAAAACACACAAGGGUUCUAAAUAUUUUAAGUCUCUUCCUGGAUUCACCAAUGUAUAUUUCACCAACAUAUAUAUGAAAUUGUAACUUGCUAAACUUCUCUGUUACAUCAAGUUUCACUCUUGUCUUUUUAGAGGAUAUGCAAACCUCAUUUCAUCAUUUCUACUCUAGAGACUGCUUAUUUGGUAGAAUGAAAUAGGUACAACUCAAAUAGUUAGUAAACUACUGUAUUCAGAUUUUGCACAAAAACAACAAAAUACAAUCUAAAAACAAUUCAGUUGGAGAAGACUCAUAGGUUAAGUAUGUGUAAAGAGUAGUGGCAGUAGCUGGUAAGUUAAACUACUCACUGGCUAUAAUGCUGUUCAGCAGUUACCACUGUUUGGAUUAUUGGACAUUUCCUGAGUAGUGGGAAAUGUUUGGAUGAAAAGCCAGUAGCUCAUUAUUAACUCUCUUUACAUCACCUGCCUUCUG
Long non-coding RNA from Macaca mulatta (Rhesus monkey), 2471 nucleotides. RefSeq lists it as uncharacterized. Lineage: Eukaryota; Metazoa; Chordata; Mammalia; Primates; Cercopithecidae. The record is from RefSeq and is a predicted model, not a curated record.